UAUUUCUUAGCCUCACCGUCAACCUCACCAUUAGCUAUGCCAUCGCCUUGGGUGUGGAGCUUCAAAAAGGAGCGGCCUCAAGGGCUUGUUGUCUGUCUAAUUUUCGCCAUCCAACCUUGGUUGUUCAAGAAGGAUUGAUCUUGUCUUCGAGUGGGAGUUAGAUUUUUG
Long non-coding RNA from Dioscorea cayenensis subsp. rotundata (Guinea yam), 168 nucleotides. RefSeq lists it as uncharacterized. Lineage: Eukaryota; Viridiplantae; Streptophyta; Magnoliopsida; Dioscoreales; Dioscoreaceae. The record is from RefSeq and is a predicted model, not a curated record. The transcript is spliced from 3 exons.